RNAcentral lists this ribosomal RNA (466 nucleotides) under uncultured Pseudomonas sp. RNAcentral describes it as "bacterial SSU rRNA". It matches the Rfam family "Bacterial small subunit ribosomal RNA", at positions 336 to 795 of the family's 1533-position model. The record is from RNAcentral. Lineage: Bacteria; Pseudomonadati; Pseudomonadota; Gammaproteobacteria; Pseudomonadales; Pseudomonadaceae.
CGCCUACGGGAGGCAGCAGUGGGGAAUAUUGGACAAUGGGCGAAAGCCUGAUCCAGCCAUGCCGCGUGUGUGAAGAAGGUCUUCGGAUUGUAAAGCACUUUAAGUUGGGAGGAAGGGCAGUAAGCUAAUACCUUGCUGUUUUGACGUUACCAACAGAUAAGCACCGGCUAACUCUGUGCCAGCAGCCGCGGUAAUACAGAGGGUGCAAGCGUUAAUCGGAAUUACUGGGCGUAAAGCGCGCGUAGGUGGUUCAGCAAGUUGUAUGUGAAAUCCCCGGGCUCAACCUGGGAACUGCAUCCAAAACUACUGGGCUAGAGUACGGUAGAGGGUGGUGGAAUUUCCUGUGUAGCGGUGAAAUGCGUAGAUAUAGGAAGGAACACCAGUGGCGAAGGCGACCACCUGGACUGAUACUGACACUGAGGUGCGAAAGCGUGGGGAGCAAACAGGAUUAGAUACCCGGGUAGUC